RNAcentral lists this ribosomal RNA (242 nucleotides) under uncultured bacterium. Its description in RNAcentral is "partial 16S ribosomal RNA". It matches the Rfam family "Bacterial small subunit ribosomal RNA", at positions 92 to 334 of the family's 1533-position model. The record is from RNAcentral.
CGACCGGCGCACGGGUGAGUAACGCGUAUCCAACCUUCCCAUUACUGUGGGAUAACCUGCCGAAAGGCAGACUAAUACCGCAUAGUCUUCGAUGACGGCAUCAGAUUUGAAGUAAAGAUUUAUCGGUAAUGGAUGGGGAUGCGUCUGAUUAGCUUGUUGGCGGGGUAACGGCCCACCAAGGCAACGAUCAGUAGGGGUUCUGAGAGGAAGGUCCCCCACAUUGGAACUGAGACACGGUCCAA